AUUCCAGCUCCAAUAGCGUAUAUUAAAGUUGUUGCAGUUAAAAAGCUCGUAGUUGGAUUUCUGGCAGGAGCGUCCGGUCUCACACUCAGUGCGGGAACUUGGAUGUCUCUGGCCAUCUUUGGGGAUAUCCUGUUUGGCAUUAAGUUGUCGGGCAGGGGACACCCAUCGUUUACUGUGAAAAAAUUAGAGUGUUUAAAGCAGGCUUAUGCCGUUGAAUAUAUUAGCAUGGAAUAAUAAGAUAGGACGUAGGUACUAUUUUGUUGGUUUGCGCACCCACGUAAUGAUUAAUAGAGACAGGCGGGGCUAUUCGUAUUGCAUUGUCAGAGGUGAAAUUCUUGGAUUUCUGCAAGACGAACUACUGCGAAAGCAUUUAGCAAGGAUGUUUUCAUUA
RNAcentral lists this ribosomal RNA (391 nucleotides) under Cyclotella sp. RNAcentral's name for it is "partial small subunit ribosomal RNA". It matches the Rfam family "Eukaryotic small subunit ribosomal RNA", at positions 582 to 975 of the family's 1831-position model. Lineage: Eukaryota; Bacillariophyta; Thalassiosirophyceae; Thalassiosirales; Thalassiosiraceae. The record is from RNAcentral.